RNAcentral lists this ribosomal RNA (253 nucleotides) under uncultured bacterium. RNAcentral describes it as "partial 16S ribosomal RNA". It matches the Rfam family "Bacterial small subunit ribosomal RNA", at positions 524 to 776 of the family's 1533-position model. The record is from RNAcentral.
GACAGAGGCCCCGAGCGUUAAUCGGAAUCACUGGGCUUAAAGGGUGCGUAGGCUGAUCCGAAAGUGCUUCGUGAAAUCCCCCGGCUCAACCGGGGAACAGCGGGGCAUACUGCGGAUCUUGAGGCAGGUAGGCGCCGAGGGAACAGUAGGUGGAGCGGUGAAAUGCGUAGAUAUCUACUGGAACGCCGAUGGUGAAGACGCUCGGCUGGGCCUGUCCUGACGCUGAGACACGAAAGCCAGGGGAGCGAACGGG